This 28-nucleotide non-coding RNA is filed under the name Mus musculus (house mouse). The record is from RNAcentral. Lineage: Eukaryota; Metazoa; Chordata; Mammalia; Rodentia; Muridae.
UGAGAAAUGACGGAGCCUUGUACCACAA